Molecule: ribosomal RNA, 448 nt
Filed under: uncultured bacterium
Lineage: Bacteria
Description: bacterial SSU rRNA
Rfam family: Bacterial small subunit ribosomal RNA
Source: RNAcentral
AACGAACGCUGGCGGCAGGCUUAACACAUGCAAGUCGAACGCCCCGCAAGGGGAGUGGCGCACGGGUGAGUAACGCGUGGGAAUAUGCCCUUCGGUUCGGAAUAACACAGGGAAACUUGUGCUAAUACCGGAUACGAUCUACGGAUGAAAGAUUUAUCGCCGAGGGAGUAGCCCGCGUAGGAUUAGCUAGUUGGUGAGGUAAUGGCUCACCAAGGCGACGAUCCUUAGCUGGUCUGAGAGGAUGAUCAGCCACACUGGGACUGAGACACGGCCCAGACUCCUACGGGAGGCAGCAGUGGGGAAUAUUGGACAAUGGGCGAAAGCCUGAUCCAGCCAUGCCGCGUGAGUGAUGAAGGCCUUAGGGUUGUAAAGCUCUUUCGCCAGGGAAGAUAAUGACGGUACCGUGGAAAAUAAGCCCGGCUAACUUCGUGCCAGCAGCCGCGGUAAU